UACGUAGGGUGCAAGCGUUAAUCGGAAUUACUGGGCGUAAAGCGUGCGCAGGCGGUGAUGUAAGACAGGUGUGAAAUCCCCGGGCUUAACCUGGGAACUGCAUUUGUGACUGCAUAGCUGGAGUGCGGCAGAGGGGGAUGGAAUUCCGCGUGUAGCAGUGAAAUGCGUAGAUAUGCGGAGGAACACCGAUGGCGAAGGCAAUCCCCUGGGCCUGCACUGACGCUCAUGCACGAAAGCGUGGGGAGCAAACAGG
RNAcentral lists this ribosomal RNA (253 nucleotides) under uncultured bacterium. Its description in RNAcentral is "partial 16S ribosomal RNA". It matches the Rfam family "Bacterial small subunit ribosomal RNA", at positions 524 to 776 of the family's 1533-position model. The record is from RNAcentral.